This 68-nucleotide transfer RNA is filed under the name Bos taurus (domestic cattle). It matches the Rfam family "tRNA". From Rfam's summary of the family: Transfer RNA (tRNA) molecules are approximately 80 nucleotides in length. Their secondary structure includes four short double-helical elements and three loops (D, anti-codon, and T loops). RNAcentral also lists the same sequence under 4 other names. Lineage: Eukaryota; Metazoa; Chordata; Mammalia; Artiodactyla; Bovidae. The record is from Rfam by way of RNAcentral.
AACAAUUUGGCUUAGAGGUUAAGGCGUCUGCCUCCAAUGCGGGAGACCCGGGUUCGAUCCCUGGGUUG